This 77-nucleotide transfer RNA is filed under the name Sphaerodactylus townsendi. Its description in RNAcentral is "tRNA-Thr". It matches the Rfam family "tRNA", at positions 17 to 71 of the family's 71-position model. From Rfam's summary of the family: Transfer RNA (tRNA) molecules are approximately 80 nucleotides in length. The record is from RNAcentral. Lineage: Eukaryota; Metazoa; Chordata; Lepidosauria; Squamata; Sphaerodactylidae.
GGAGCACUUCUCAAGGACAGGCUGUGAACAUCUGCCUGGUGUGCAGAAGGCCCCAGGUUCGAUUCCUGGCGUCUCCA